Molecule: ribosomal RNA, 1494 nt
Filed under: Enterococcus durans
Lineage: Bacteria; Bacillati; Bacillota; Bacilli; Lactobacillales; Enterococcaceae
Description: bacterial SSU rRNA
Rfam family: Bacterial small subunit ribosomal RNA
Source: RNAcentral
GGCUCAGGACGAACGCUGGCGGCGUGCCUAAUACAUGCAAGUCGUACGAUUCUUUUUCCACCGGAGCUUGCUCCACCGGAAAAAGAAGAGUGGCGAACGGGUGAGUAACACGUGGGUAACCUGCCCAUCAGAAGGGGAUAACACUUGGAAACAGGUGCUAAUACCGUAUAACAAUCGAAACCGCAUGGUUUUGAUUUGAAAGGCGCUUUCGGGUGUCGCUGAUGGAUGGACCCGCGGUGCAUUAGCUAGUUGGUGAGGUAACGGCUCACCAAGGCCACGAUGCAUAGCCGACCUGAGAGGGUGAUCGGCCACAUUGGGACUGAGACACGGCCCAAACUCCUACGGGAGGCAGCAGUAGGGAAUCUUCGGCAAUGGACGAAAGUCUGACCGAGCAACGCCGCGUGAGUGAAGAAGGUUUUCGGAUCGUAAAACUCUGUUGUUAGAGAAGAACAAGGAUGAGAGUAACUGUUCAUCCCUUGACGGUAUCUAACCAGAAAGCCACGGCUAACUACGUGCCAGCAGCCGCGGUAAUACGUAGGUGGCAAGCGUUGUCCGGAUUUAUUGGGCGUAAAGCGAGCGCAGGCGGUUUCUUAAGUCUGAUGUGAAAGCCCCCGGCUCAACCGGGGAGGGUCAUUGGAAACUGGGAGACUUGAGUGCAGAAGAGGAGAGUGGAAUUCCAUGUGUAGCGGUGAAAUGCGUAGAUAUAUGGAGGAACACCAGUGGCGAAGGCGGCUCUCUGGUCUGUAACUGACGCUGAGGCUCGAAAGCGUGGGGAGCAAACAGGAUUAGAUACCCUGGUAGUCCACGCCGUAAACGAUGAGUGCUAAGUGUUGGAGGGUUUCCGCCCUUCAGUGCUGCAGCUAACGCAUUAAGCACUCCGCCUGGGGAGUACGACCGCAAGGUUGAAACUCAAAGGAAUUGACGGGGGCCCGCACAAGCGGUGGAGCAUGUGGUUUAAUUCGAAGCAACGCGAAGAACCUUACCAGGUCUUGACAUCCUUUGACCACUCUAGAGAUAGAGCUUCCCCUUCGGGGGCAAAGUGACAGGUGGUGCAUGGUUGUCGUCAGCUCGUGUCGUGAGAUGUUGGGUUAAGUCCCGCAACGAGCGCAACCCUUAUUGUUAGUUGCCAUCAUUUAGUUGGGCACUCUAGCAAGACUGCCGGUGACAAACCGGAGGAAGGUGGGGAUGACGUCAAAUCAUCAUGCCCCUUAUGACCUGGGCUACACACGUGCUACAAUGGGAAGUACAACGAGUCGCGAAGUCGCGAGGCUAAGCUAAUCUCUUAAAGCUUCUCUCAGUUCGGAUUGUAGGCUGCAACUCGCCUACAUGAAGCCGGAAUCGCUAGUAAUCGCGGAUCAGCACGCCGCGGUGAAUACGUUCCCGGGCCUUGUACACACCGCCCGUCACACCACGAGAGUUUGUAACACCCGAAGUCGGUGAGGUAACCUUGUGGAGCCAGCCGCCUAAGGUGGAGAUAGAUGAUUGGGGUGAAGU